RNAcentral lists this unclassified non-coding RNA (306 nucleotides) under plant metagenome. RNAcentral's name for it is "partial contains 5.8S ribosomal RNA, internal transcribed spacer 2, and large subunit ribosomal RNA". The stretch from base 1 to 105 matches the Rfam family "5.8S ribosomal RNA", at positions 50 to 154 of the family's 154-position model. The record is from RNAcentral.
GAAAUGCGAUAAGUAAUGUGAAUUGCAGAAUUCUGUGAAUCAUCGAAUCUUUGAACGCACAUUGCGCCCGCCAGUAUUCUGGCGGGCAUGCCUGUCCGAGCGUCAUUUCAACCAUCAAGCCCCCGGGCUUGUGUUGGGGACCUGCGGCUGCCCGCAGGCCCUGAAAACCAGUGGCGGGCUCGCUGUCACACCGAGCGUAGUAGCAAUCACCUCGCUCAGGGCGUGCUGCGGGUUCCGGCCGUCAAACAGCCUUACAAAACCCAAGGUUGACCUCGGAUCAGGUAGGAAGACCCGCUGAACUUAAGC